UACGGAGGGGGCUAGCGUUGUUCGGAAUUACUGGGCGUAAAGGGUGCGUAGGCGGUUGUUUAAGUCUGUCGUGAAAUCCCCGGGCUCAACCUGGGAAUGGCGAUGGAUACUGGGCAGCUAGAGUGUGUCAGAGGAUGGUGGAAUUCCCGGUGUAGCGGUGAAAUGCGUAGAGAUCGGGAGGAACAUCAGUGGCGAAGGCGGCCAUCUGGGACAACACUGACGCUGAAGCACGAAAGCGUGGGGAGCAAACAGG
This 253-nucleotide ribosomal RNA is filed under the name uncultured bacterium. RNAcentral's name for it is "partial 16S ribosomal RNA". It matches the Rfam family "Bacterial small subunit ribosomal RNA", at positions 524 to 776 of the family's 1533-position model. The record is from RNAcentral.